UUCAGGUCCAUUUGAGCCUUAUAUACACACGUUUUUUCUUGCAUGUAUAUUCACGAUUGAAUGUGCGUGUCUUUUAUUCGAGUUUUUGUGUCUGUGUUCUUUAUAUUUUAUGUUUAUAGAUCGAUUCGGGUUCUUUCUAAUUUGUCAAAUUCUAAAGGUCUUGGACUUGGGGUUUUGAAGAAGAUGGGUUUUGUGGUGCAGUUAUGUUGUUUACUUUAUCGGAUAUGUACUGUUUCGUUGCUUGGAAGAUGUGGGAAUGUGAAAGAAAUUUGCAUUUUGCUUUUUCUUUUUAAAAUCUUUAUGAGUUUAUUUGGACUCAGGAAAGAACCUGAGUUUAUUUUUGGAGCAGACGUUGUGUCAUAGAAAUACAAAGAGGAGAUUAAUACCAAGAAUUUUGUUUUUAUAAAUAUAAAUUCCAAAUUGUUACGCAUUUGAGGCUACAAGUGGG
RNAcentral lists this unclassified non-coding RNA (448 nucleotides) under Hevea brasiliensis (rubber tree). The record is from RNAcentral. Lineage: Eukaryota; Viridiplantae; Streptophyta; Magnoliopsida; Malpighiales; Euphorbiaceae.